GACGAACGCUGGCGGCGUGCCUAAUACAUGCAAGUAGAACGCUGAAGGAGGAGCUUGCUUCUCUGGAUGAGUUGCGAACGGGUGAGUAACGCGUAGGUAACCUGCCUGGUAGCGGGGGAUAACUAUUGGAAACGAUAGCUAAUACCGCAUAGGAGUAGAUGUUGCAUGACAUUUGAUUAAAAGGUGCAAUUGCAUCACUACCAGAUGGACCUUCGUUGUAUUAGCUAGUUGGUGGGGUAACGGCCCACCAAGGCGACGAUACAUAGCCGACCUGAGAGGGAGAUCAGCCACACUGGGACUGAGACACGGCCCAGAAUUCUACGGGAGGCAGCAGUAGGGAAUCUUCGGAAAUGGACGGAAGUCUGACCGAGCAACGCCGCGUGAGUGAAGAAGGUUUUCGGAUCGUAAAGCUCUGUUGUAAGAGAAGAACGAGUGUGAGAGUGGAAAGUUCACACUGUGACGGUAUCUUACCAGAAAAGGACGGCUAACUACGUG
Molecule: ribosomal RNA, 495 nt
Filed under: uncultured bacterium
Lineage: Bacteria
Description: partial 16S ribosomal RNA
Rfam family: Bacterial small subunit ribosomal RNA
Source: RNAcentral